GCUUGCUACCCUCCCAUUCAUUUGGCAAGUGCCUGAACAAUGUUGGAGGUCUAGACAAGGCACUCUCAUUUUAUCCUGAGUGUAUCAAGGAUUCUAAUGAAGCACCCAAAUGGUGGGAUCAUUUGCAUUGCGCAAUGUCACAUUACAAGUUUGUCCUUGCGAUUGAGAACACCAAGACAGAAAGUUAUGUAACAGAGAAGUUAUUUUACGCACUGGACUCUGG
This 223-nucleotide unclassified non-coding RNA is filed under the name Hevea brasiliensis (rubber tree). Lineage: Eukaryota; Viridiplantae; Streptophyta; Magnoliopsida; Malpighiales; Euphorbiaceae. The record is from RNAcentral.